UACAGAGGGGGCAAGCGUUGUUCGGAAUCACUGGGCGUAAAGGGCGCGUAGGCGGCCAACUAAGUCAGACGUGAAAUCCCCAGGCUCAACCUGGGAACUGCGUCUGAUACUGGAUGGCUUGAGUUCGGGAGAGGGAAGUGGAAUUCCCGGUGUAGCGGUGAAAUGCGCAGAUAUCGGGAGGAACACCAAUGGCGAAGGCAGCUUGCUGGGACGGUACUGACGCUGAGACGCGAAAGCGUGGGGAGCAAACAGG
This 253-nucleotide ribosomal RNA is filed under the name uncultured bacterium. Its description in RNAcentral is "partial 16S ribosomal RNA". It matches the Rfam family "Bacterial small subunit ribosomal RNA", at positions 524 to 776 of the family's 1533-position model. The record is from RNAcentral.